This 434-nucleotide ribosomal RNA is filed under the name uncultured bacterium. RNAcentral describes it as "partial 16S ribosomal RNA". It matches the Rfam family "Bacterial small subunit ribosomal RNA", at positions 29 to 507 of the family's 1533-position model. The record is from RNAcentral.
AACGAACGCUGGCGGCAUGCCUAACACAUGCAAGUCGAACGAUUGCCUUCGGGUGAUAGUGGCGCACGGGUGCGUAACGCGUGGGAAUCUGCCCUUAGGUUCGGAAUAACAGCUGGAAACGGCUGCUAUACCGGAUGAUAUCGCGAGAUCAAAGAUUUAUCGCCUGAGGAGGAGCCCGCGUUGGAUUAGGUAGUUGGUGGGGUAAAGGCCUACCAAGCCGACGAUCCAUAGCUGGUCUGAGAGGAUGAUCAGCCACACUGGGACUGAGACACGGCCCAGACUCCUACGGGAGGCAGCAGUGGGGAAUAUUGGACAAUGGGCGCAAGCCUGAUCCAGCAAUGCCGCGUGAGUGAUGAAGGCCCUAGGGUUGUAAAGCUCUUUUACCCGGGAAGAUAAUGACUGUACCGGGAGAAUAAGCCCCGGCUAACUCCGUG